CCUACGGGGGGCAGCAGUGGGGAAUAUUGCGCAAUGGGCGAAAGCCUGACGCAGCGACGCCGCGUGAGGGAUGAAGGUCUUCGGAUCGUAAACCUCUGUCAGCAGGGAAGAACGGUCACUGUGCUAAUCAGCAGUGACUUGACGGUACCUGCAAAGGAAGCACCGGCUCACUCCGGGCCAGCAUCCGCGGUAAUACGGAGGGUGCGAGCGUUAAUCGGAAUUACUGGGCGUAAAGCGCGCGUAGGCGGUAUGUCAAGUCAAGGGUGAAAUCCCCGCGCUCAACGUGGGAACUGCCUUUGAAACUGGCAAACUGGAGUGUGUGAGAGGAUAGUGGAAUUCCAGGUGUAGGAGUGAAAUCCGUAGAUAUCUGGAGGAACAUCAGUGGCGAAGGCGACUAUCUGGCACAUAACUGACGCUGAGGAGCGAAAGCGUGGGUAGCAAACAGGAUUAGAUACCCUUGUAGUC
This 465-nucleotide ribosomal RNA is filed under the name uncultured bacterium. Its description in RNAcentral is "partial 16S ribosomal RNA". It matches the Rfam family "Bacterial small subunit ribosomal RNA", at positions 338 to 795 of the family's 1533-position model. The record is from RNAcentral.